GGGGAUUUGGCUCAGUGGUAGAGCGCUUGCCUAGCAAACGCAAGGCCCUGGGUUCGAUCCCCAGCUCCG
RNAcentral lists this transfer RNA (69 nucleotides) under Rattus norvegicus (Norway rat). It matches the Rfam family "tRNA". Rfam says of the family: Transfer RNA (tRNA) molecules are approximately 80 nucleotides in length. Their secondary structure includes four short double-helical elements and three loops (D, anti-codon, and T loops). The record is from Rfam by way of RNAcentral. Lineage: Eukaryota; Metazoa; Chordata; Mammalia; Rodentia; Muridae.